GAUGAACGCUGGCGGCGUGCCUAAUACAUGCAAGUCGAGCGAACAGACGAGGAGCUUGCUCCUCUGACGUUAGCGGCGGACGGGUGAGUCACACGUGGAUAACCUACCUAUAUGACUGGGAUACCUUCGGGAAACCGGAGCUAAUACCGGAUAAUCUAUUGAACCGCAUGGUUCAAUAGUGAAUGACGGUUUUGCUGUCACUUAUAGAUGGAUCCGCGCCGCAUUAGCUAGUUGGUAAGGUAACGGCUUACCAAGGCAACGAUGCGUAGCCGACCUGAGAGGGGGAUCGGCCACCCGGGAGCUGAGAGACGGACCGGGAGCCUACGGGAGGCACAAGUAGGGAAUCGGGCGAAAGGGGGGAAAGCCUGACGAAGCAACGCCGCGUGAGUGAUGAAGGUCUUCGGAUGGUAAAACGCUGUUAUGGGGAAAAACAAAUGUGUAAGUAACUAUGCACGGCUUGACGGUACUUAAUCAGAAAGCCACGGCUAACUACGUG
This 496-nucleotide ribosomal RNA is filed under the name uncultured bacterium. RNAcentral's name for it is "partial 16S ribosomal RNA". It matches the Rfam family "Bacterial small subunit ribosomal RNA", at positions 28 to 507 of the family's 1533-position model. The record is from RNAcentral.